CGGGAUGUAGCGCAAUUUGGUAGCGUAUACGCUUUGGGAGCGUGUGGUUGCAGGUUCGAGUCCUGCCAUUCCGA
This 74-nucleotide transfer RNA is filed under the name Dunaliella salina. RNAcentral's name for it is "tRNA-Pro". It matches the Rfam family "tRNA". From Rfam's summary of the family: Transfer RNA (tRNA) molecules are approximately 80 nucleotides in length. Their secondary structure includes four short double-helical elements and three loops (D, anti-codon, and T loops). The record is from RNAcentral. Lineage: Eukaryota; Viridiplantae; Chlorophyta; Chlorophyceae; Chlamydomonadales; Dunaliellaceae.